UAGAUUCUAUAUUGAGAGCCGAUACUGGAAUCUAGGUAUCGGUAUGUAAUACAAAAUGGUGAGGAGUAAGCUCUCAGGUUUUGAGGAAUUGAGAUCUAUGUACUAGUAUAGAAGUUGCAGAUUUUGUAUUGAGUAUCGGUACGAAAUUUGGGUACCGAUACGUAAUAGAAAGUUUGAGAAUCCAAUGUUCGAAUUUUGCGGAACUGGAAAUCGGGUACCGAAUCUAAAUGUCGUGUAACGGUACGUGAGUUCGAGUGCCAGUAUG
Molecule: long non-coding RNA, 265 nt
Filed under: Ananas comosus (pineapple)
Lineage: Eukaryota; Viridiplantae; Streptophyta; Magnoliopsida; Poales; Bromeliaceae
Description: long non-coding RNA (ACOM_LNC008899)
Source: RNAcentral